Peromyscus eremicus (cactus mouse) is the source of this 824-nucleotide long non-coding RNA. RefSeq lists it as uncharacterized. The transcript is spliced from 2 exons. The record is from RefSeq and is a predicted model, not a curated record. Lineage: Eukaryota; Metazoa; Chordata; Mammalia; Rodentia; Cricetidae.
AUGUGAUGUUUAAUUUUAAUUGGGCAUGUUAAUUGGGUGAGCCAAAGGGGGCUUUUGAUUGUUGGACCUUGACGGUCAGCCUCAGGAGGAGGAAGUGGCCAAAUAAGGGACUAGACCUUGGUGUCUAGCUUUAGGAAUGUAAUCUAAAGGUUUUUAGCAAAGCAGAGAGAAUGGGGGAGAAGGGCAAGGCCUGCCAGAGCCACAUGUUAGAAUAGGCCAGUGUCCCCUUCAAAGGGGAAGGGACACUGGAAAAACAAGGCAGGGUCGUCUUGGAACCUGCCUGAGCUCUGAAUGUGCUCUCCAAUCCACAGUAGAGCCCUGUAAAGGUGGAAGCCUUGCUGGACAUAGCAGGGCCUGCCUGGGAGCCUAGCACUCAUGAGACUGGAGGAAAAGACAGCAAGUGUGAGACCAGCCUGGAGUAUGUAAUGGGAUCCUGUCCCAGAAAAGUAGGAAGGAAGCCUCAACCCUACACAUUUUAAACCACAUGUCCCCACUGCUCUCUUUUUCAUUAAAUUCUAGAUCAAAAUUUACAGAAAUAGUAGAUGAACCUUGAAGACAUUAUACAAAAUGACAGAAGCCAGUCAUUAAAAGAAAAAUAUUGUUUGAUUCCACAUGGCACGAUAUGCCUACAGUCAUCAGAUCCAGAGGGAGAGCGUGAGAUGAUGGUUCAGAAGAGCAAGAUGAACUUCAGGAGUGUAGUUACAAAGCAAUGAAGUAAACUCAACAUCACUGAACUAUCAGUCUACAAUGGUUAAAAGGGGAAACCCUGUGUUAUAUCUAUUUUACCACAAUUUUAAAUUAAGUAAAUAAAAAUUAUAAAAAUA